Molecule: ribosomal RNA, 1343 nt
Filed under: Phytophthora sp. KACC 40914
Lineage: Eukaryota; Oomycota; Peronosporomycetes; Peronosporales; Peronosporaceae
Description: eukaryotic LSU rRNA
Rfam family: Eukaryotic large subunit ribosomal RNA
Source: RNAcentral
UACCCGCUGAACUUAAGCAUAUCAAUAAGCGGAGGAAAAGAAACUAACAAGGAUUCCCCUAGUAACGGCGAGUGAAGCGGGAAGAGCUCAAGCUUAAAAUCUCUGCGCAAGUUUUGCGCGGCGAAUUGUAGUCUAUGGAGGCGUGGUCAGCGCGGGCGCUCGGGGUAAGUUCCUUGGAAGAGGACAGCAUGGAGGGUGAUACUCCCGUUCAUCCCUGGGCCGCUUGCGCGUACGACCCGUGUUCUUCGAGUCGCGUUGUUUGGGAAUGCAGCGCAAAGUAGGUGGUAAAUUCCAUCUAAAGCUAAAUAUUGGUGCGAGACCGAUAGCGAACAAGUACCGUGAGGGAAAGAUGAAAAGAACUUUGAAAAGAGAGUUAAAGAGUACCUGAAACUGCUGAAAGGGAACCGAAUCGUUUCCAGUGUCUAUAAUCCGCGGCAUAUUUCAUCGUCGAGUGUGUGCGUGUGCGUGCGUUCGCAGUGGCUUUUUUGGCUGCGCGGCGCGUGUGCUGUGCGUGUGCUUGGUGGUGCCCUGUGCUGCGGUGGGACGUCAAGGUCAGUUCGUGUGCUGCGGGAAAUGGCUGCCGAGGAGGUAGGGCUUACGCUCCGCGUUUGUCUGUUAUAUCUUGGUGGACGAGUCGUCGCGGUUGGGACUGAGGUGCCUACAACGUGCUUUUGAGUGUGUGUGUCUCUCUGUGUGCCCGGUGUGCGGAUAGCUUGCUAUGCGUGUGCUGUCGUGCGCGGAUGGGGGCGUGCGAACUUAAGCAUAUCAAUAAGCGGAGGAAAAGAAACUAACAAGGAUUCCCCUAGUAACGGCGAGUGAAGCGGGAAGAGCUCAAGCUUAAAAUCUCUGCGCAAGUUUUGCGCGGCGAAUUGGAGCGCGAAAUGAAAGUGAAGGGCAGCUUGCGUUGUCUGAGGUAGGAAACGUGCGGCCUCUCGGGGCUGUGCGUGGCACUAUCGACCGAUCAUGAACCUUCGUGGUGAAAGAUUUGAGUUUGAGCACAUAUGUUGGUACCCGAAAGAUGGUGAACUAUGCCUGAGUAGGGUGAAGCCAGGGGAAACUCUGGUGGAAGCUCGUAGCGAUUCUGACGUGCAAAUCGAUCGUCAAACUUGGGUAUAGGGGCGAAAGACUAAUCGAACCAUCUAGUAGCUGGUUCCCUCCGAAAUUUCCCUCAGGAUAGCAGCAACUUUUUUACGAUAGUUUUAUGAGGUAAAGCGAAUGAUUAGAGGAUUCGGGGAAGAAACUUCCUCGACCUAUUCUCAAACUUUAAAUCUGUAAGACCUGCAGGUUUCUUAAUUGAACUUGCGGAUGUGAAUAUCAAGUUGCUAGUGGGCCAUACGGGGUAA